GGCUCUUUGGGUUAAAAAUAUAGAGAGUCGAGCCUGCCCAAUGACGUAAUGUUGAAUGGCCGCGGUACUCUGACCGUGCGAAGGUAGCAUAAUCAUUUGUCUUUUAAUUGAGGACUAGAAUGAAUGGUUUGACGAAAACAAAACUGUCUUUUUCUUAUUAAGUAGAAAUUAAUUUUUAAGUGAAGAAUCUUUAAUUUUUAUAAAAGACAAGAAGACCCUAUUGAGCUUUAUUAUACAAAACUAUUUUAAUUUUAUAGUAUUAAAAGGUUUAAAGAAGUUAAUUAUAAUUUGGUUGGGGCGACUUAGGAAUAUAGAAAACUUCCUUUAUACUAAUUUAAAAAAUUAUAUAAUGAUCCGGUAUUUAUCGAUUAAAAGAAAUAGCUACCAUAGGGAUAACAGCGUAAUUUUCUUUGAGAGUUCCUAUCGAAAAGAAAGUUUGCGACCUCGAUGUUGGAUUGAAGUAUCUAGAGGGUGUAGCAGCUCUUUGGGUUGGUCUGUUCGACCAUUAAAACUUUACA
Molecule: ribosomal RNA, 518 nt
Filed under: Cocculina subcompressa
Lineage: Eukaryota; Metazoa; Mollusca; Gastropoda; Cocculinidae
Description: partial 16S ribosomal RNA
Rfam family: Bacterial large subunit ribosomal RNA
Source: RNAcentral